RNAcentral lists this ribosomal RNA (495 nucleotides) under uncultured bacterium. RNAcentral's name for it is "partial 16S ribosomal RNA". It matches the Rfam family "Bacterial small subunit ribosomal RNA", at positions 28 to 507 of the family's 1533-position model. The record is from RNAcentral.
GACGAACGCUGGCGGCGUGCCUAAUACAUGCAAGUAGAACGCUGAAGGCGGAGCUUGCUUCUCUGGAUGAGUUGCGAACGGGUGAGUAACGCGUAGGUAACCUGCCUGGUAGCUGGGGAUAACUAUUGGAAACGAUAGCUAAUACCGCAUAAUAGUAGAUGUUGCAUGACAUUUGCUUAAAAGGUGCAAUUGCAUCACUACCACAUGGACCUGCGGUGUAUUAGCUAGUUGGUGGGGUAACGGCUCACCAAGGCGACGAUACAUCGCCGACCGGAGAGGGGGAUCAGCCACCCUGGGAGUGAGACAGGGCCCAGAGGGCUACGGGAGGCAGCAGGAGUGAUUCUGCGGCAAUGAGCGGAAGUCUUACCGAGCUACGCCGCGGGAGUGAGGAGGAUUUUCGGGUCGGAAAGCACGGUUGUAAGAGAAGAACGAGUGUGAGCGUGGAAAGUACAGACAGUGACGGUAUCUGACCAGGAAGGGACGGCUAACUACGUG